Molecule: ribosomal RNA, 253 nt
Filed under: uncultured bacterium
Lineage: Bacteria
Description: partial 16S ribosomal RNA
Rfam family: Bacterial small subunit ribosomal RNA
Source: RNAcentral
UACGGAGGGUGCAAGCGUUAUCCGGAUUCACUGGGUUUAAAGGGUGCGUAGGUGGGCAAGUAAGUCAGUGGUGAAAUCUCCGGGCUUAACCCGGAAACUGCCAUUGAUACUAUUUGUCUUGAAUACUGUGGAGGUCAGCGGAAUAUGUCAUGUAGCGGUGAAAUGCUUAGAUAUGACAUAGAACACCAAUUGCGAAGGCAGCUGGCUGCACAAAUAUUGACACUGAGGCACGAAAGCGUGGGGAUCAAACAGG